CUUCGAUCUCAUGUGCAUUUAUUCUUUUUGUUAUGCAAUCAAAUAAGAAUAAAAGUUCUGUAGUUUUAUUUCAAUUUUAGUUUUUAAAACAAAAUAUCGGCAUAGCCUUUGUAAAUAGGUUCUGAUACAUGUGGAUUUACGUGGGAGGUAUAUUGUAACAUCCAUUAUUAUUAUGUAUCUCUCGUGAGUCUGCGCGAAGUAUAGAUAUAUCGAGAAUUUUUUCACAGUAGUGUUUUCAAAGCAAAAGAAGCACGUCAUAUUAGAAUAUCUUUUUUUAUAUCAAUAUAAUACAUAUACUGGGUACAUAUGAUAAAGGAUAGUAAUAAUUCCUUAUUGCAUGCAAGUGAUCUACCUCUUACAUCUAUUUCAACAUGUAUUCAUCUGAAUUGUCAUAUCAAAAUCAAGAUAUUACAUUUUCACUGUUUUCAAAUAUUUGGCAUAUUCUGAUAUGUUUAAAGGAUACUCGCUUGUUAUAAAGCUGAUAAACUCUGAGACACACUCCUGAACACAUUCUUUGGCAUCUUUGGCAAUCU
This 533-nucleotide long non-coding RNA is filed under the name Mytilus galloprovincialis (Mediterranean mussel). The record is from RNAcentral. Lineage: Eukaryota; Metazoa; Mollusca; Bivalvia; Mytilida; Mytilidae.